This 1010-nucleotide long non-coding RNA is filed under the name Calidris pygmaea (Spoon-billed sandpiper). RNAcentral's name for it is "lncRNA (ENSCPGG00000002497.1)". Lineage: Eukaryota; Metazoa; Chordata; Aves; Charadriiformes; Scolopacidae. The record is from RNAcentral.
AUGAAUUUUUGUGGAGCUAAAUUAUUUUCUGACCUGACCUCUGUGUGUUUUAGCUCUGAGAAUCUCACCCGUGAUGGUAAAGGCAAUCAUGAAAAGCCAUCUGUGUCACAGAAGGCAGGAAAAAGUGUGUACCAUGAUAUGAUCCCAUCCACAAGAGAAAAUUUCCGUUCAUCCAGCUUUAAUCUGAUCUCCCAGACAAUGAAGAAGCACAAUAGCAAAAGUGUCUCCAAGUCUGCAGAGAAGACAUUUCAGUAUUUAAAAGGUCCUGAUCGUAGUACAAAGAGCAACUCAAAAAAGGAAGAAAGGAAAAUGAAGGAGAGGCUCCCCUCAAAAAGCACAAGGCCCAAGAAAACCAGGACAACAAGCCCAGAAGAAGAGUAAAAGAUAGUAAAGAAGAGCUGGGAAGGUUAAAUCCUGCCAGGCACAAGAAACACCACAGUUCUCUGUGCCAUAACUGCCUGAAACAAAGAAGACACAACAUGCUGCAAAAUACCGGGGUAUAUUUUGCAGCCCCAGUUCUUUAGCCAAGGAAGGCACAUGAAAUUGGCAUGUAUCUGAUUUGCUUAAACAAUUCCCAAGACUUUGGUUAUGGGUUAUGACUCUACCAGUGAGGGAGAUACCUGCAAAUAUCAAAGUUCUUCUUGCUCUUUUUUUUUUUUUCUGAAAAAAUAGUUCACACACAUUGGCUAAUGUACACACGGAGUUUCUCUCGCCACAUGAAGUAUCCCAAAUUCUAAACCAGUUUAGUAGGGAAUCUCUUUUUAAUAUAAAGUAUCGUUUGUCUUAAUAUAUACUGGUUUUGUGAGGCAGACUCCACCUCCAGAAAGAGCUCUGUGAAGAGCUAAGGCCAGCAACCUUCUCAUGACACCUACAGAAGAAAAGCAUAGAGCUUCAUUUCACUGAGAUUUAUUUAUUUUUAGUUGUCAGCAGAUUACAGUUGAGAAAAAAAAAUAGUCAUUUUACGAUUUCAUCUAAAUAAAAGUGAUUUCUAAACAAUGUGGAAAAAUAUG